Molecule: ribosomal RNA, 832 nt
Filed under: uncultured bacterium
Lineage: Bacteria
Description: bacterial SSU rRNA
Rfam family: Bacterial small subunit ribosomal RNA
Source: RNAcentral
AGUUUGAUCCUGGAAAGGAUGAACGCUGGCGGCGUGCCUAAUACAUGCAAGUCGAGCGGUAAGGCCCUUCGGGGUACACGAGCGGCGGACGGCCGAGUAACACGUAGGAACGUACCCCAAAGUGAGGGAUAAGCAUCAGAAAUGGUGUCUAAUACCGCAUGUGCUCUAAGGAGUAAAGCUCCGGCGCUUUGGGAACGGCCUGCGCAUGAUUAGCUAGAUGGUGAGGUAAUGGCUCACCAUGGCGACGAUCAUUAGCUGGUCUGAGAGGAUGAUCAGCCAGACUGGGACUGAGACACGGCCCAGACUCCUACGGGAGGCAGCAGUAGGGAAUUUUCCACAAUGGGCGAAAGCCUGAUGGAGCAACGCCGCGUGCAGGAUGAAUGCCUUCGGGUUGUAAACUGCUUUUAUAUGUGACGAAUAUGACGGUAGCAUAUGAAUAAGGAUCGGCUAACUCCGUGCCAGCAGCCGCGGUCAUACGGAGGAUCCAAGCGUUAUCCGGAAUUACUGGGCGUAAAGAGUUGCGUAGGCGGCAUAGUAAGCAGAUAGUGAAAGCGUGCGGCUCAACCAUACUCACAUUAUCUGAACUGCUAAGCUAGAGGACGAGAGAGGUCACUGGAAUUCCUAGUGUAGGAGUGAAAUCCGUAGAUAUUAGGAGGAACACCAAUGGCGUAGGCAGGUGACUGGCUUCGUUCCUGACGCUCAGGCACGAAAGCGUGGGGAGCAAACGGGAUUAGAUACCCCGGUAGUCCACGCCGUAACGAUGGAUGCUAACUGUUAGAGGUAUCCGACCCCCUCUAGUAGCGAAGCUUAACGCGUUAAGCAUCCCGCCCUG